UCCUUAGACCUGUGCAAUGUCCGUCUUGACAACGCUUCAGGGUGGGAACACAGCAGAGCACCAAACCGGUAUAUGUGCCGCAGGUAUCUGGGGGAAG
Molecule: signal recognition particle RNA, 97 nt
Filed under: Campylobacteraceae bacterium
Lineage: Bacteria; Pseudomonadati; Campylobacterota; Epsilonproteobacteria; Campylobacterales; Campylobacteraceae
Description: signal recognition particle sRNA small type
Rfam family: Bacterial small signal recognition particle RNA
About the family: The signal recognition particle (SRP) is a universally conserved ribonucleoprotein involved in the co-translational targeting of proteins to membranes.
Source: RNAcentral